CUUGAUCGAGCCGAGCCACAGCGGCUCGCCGUCGGCGCGGUGCUGCCCGUAGGUGGCGAGCAGCGCCUGCGCCUC
Molecule: antisense RNA, 75 nt
Filed under: Streptomyces sp. Tu 6176
Lineage: Bacteria; Bacillati; Actinomycetota; Actinomycetes; Kitasatosporales; Streptomycetaceae
Description: Aspks sRNA
Rfam family: ASpks TB sRNA
Source: RNAcentral